UACGUAGGGGGCAAGCGUUGUCCGGAUUUAUUGGGCGUAAAGAGCUCGUAGGCGGUUUGUUGCGUCGGCUGUGAAAUCCCGAGGCUCAACCUCGGGCCUGCAGUGGGUACGGGCAGACUGGAGUGCGGUAGGGGAGAAUGGAAUUCCUGGUGUAGCGGUGGAAUGCGCAGAUAUCAGGAGGAACACCGAUGGCGAAGGCAGUUCUCUGGGCCGUAACUGACGCUGAGGAGCGAAAGCGUGGGGAGCGAACAGG
RNAcentral lists this ribosomal RNA (253 nucleotides) under uncultured bacterium. Its description in RNAcentral is "partial 16S ribosomal RNA". It matches the Rfam family "Bacterial small subunit ribosomal RNA", at positions 524 to 776 of the family's 1533-position model. The record is from RNAcentral.